Molecule: ribosomal RNA, 483 nt
Filed under: uncultured bacterium
Lineage: Bacteria
Description: partial 16S ribosomal RNA
Rfam family: Bacterial small subunit ribosomal RNA
Source: RNAcentral
AUUGAACGCUGGCGGCAGGCCUAACACAUGCCAGUCGAGCGGAUGAAGGGAGCUUGCUCCUGGAUUCAGCGGCGGACGGGUGAGUAAUGCCUAGGAAUCUGCCUGGUAGUGGGGGAUAACGUCCGGAAACGGGCGCUAAUACCGCAUACGUCCUGAGGGAGAAAGUGGGGGAUCUUCGGACCUCACGCUAUCAGAUGAGCCAGGUCGGAUUAGCUAGUUGGUGGGGUAAAGGCCUACCAAGGCGACGAUCCGUAACUGGUCUGAGAGGAUGAUCAGUCACACUGGAACUGAGACACGGUCCAGACUCCUACGGGAGGCAGCAGUGGGGAAUAUUGGACAAUGGGCGAAAGCCUGAUCCAGCCAUGCCGCGUGUGUGAAGAAGGUCUUCGGAUUGUAAAGCACUUUAAGUUGGGAGGAAGGGCAGUAAGUUAAUACCUUGCUGUUUUGACGUUACCAACAGAUUAAGCACCGGCUAACUUCGUG